Molecule: long non-coding RNA, 1403 nt
Filed under: Macaca fascicularis (crab-eating macaque)
Lineage: Eukaryota; Metazoa; Chordata; Mammalia; Primates; Cercopithecidae
Description: lncRNA (ENSMFAG00000047359.1)
Source: RNAcentral
UUUUUUUUUUUUUUUUUGGAGCUACUAUGCCAUCCUCCCUCUGUGAGGCGGAGUGACUGUCAGUGUUUUGUUACACCAUGCCUUGAGCUGUGGGUGUGUCUGGCGACAAUAAGGUGGUUGAAUAGAUUGGCUGAGCACGCUUCCACCCACCUAGUGGUAUCAGAGGGGUUAUGUGAUUGUUUCAACCUGGAGUGGGUUGCACCCUUAAUGCUUUCCUCUACAACUAAACCGCCCACAUAUAUGUUCAUUGAAAAAAGUAAGAAUAAUUCUCAGCACUAACCCAGAAGUAGCAAAGCAGUCAGUGAUGGUGAACAUUAGAGGUCAAACAUGAGUUAGAUGUUUGUGGGCUGACAGCCACCGUGGCUAUGACCAGUACUAUUUACAAAGCAUGAAUUCACUACAAUGCUCAACUGUUUAGCUUGAUCUCACUUGGGGAAUUUAUUCCUGUCUGCUGCACUGUAGGUAGCUGGGUAGGAUAUAUUUCCACUUGCUUUUUAAAUUAGUUCUUCACCUCCAUUGACACUUCGUUUUUUGGUUUUCUCCCUAUAGUAUGGGUUGGUGCUAGACACCAGUCUGUCAUAGCACCAUACUGACUCAACGGAAUGGGAGUUAUUUUAUCCAUCUUUCCUCCAUCCUUCCAAAAACCACACAUCUACAUGAGGAAAAGUUUAAUACAUCUAGGAAUUUUUUUUUAAUUAAAAGCUAUUUAAAGAGAUGAAUGUGGCCAAAGUUUUACACAAUUGAAAAUAAAGUAAAACAGACGGCAUGUGUUUAAACCUGAGUUUAUCAGGCAUGGCAGGAAGUUGCAGGAGAGAGAGGCAGUGACCCAAGCCAGUGCACUUGAUGUUCAUGGACAUAUAUUUUUUUUAAAUAAUAAAUUAAAACAUUUUAAAUAGAAGCAUAAAUUGAGUUGGUGGUUUGUUGGCGCUGAGAUACUGCCCACUGUGAAACAAAGCUUUGACUAGUUUUUUGUUUGUUUGUUUACUUUCUUCAGGGGGGAGGGGGGCAAGUUUGGGUAGGAAAGAAAGCAUAAAUGAACGUGACCCUGAGGUGAAGAGGUAUAUGAACAGCCUUUGCAAUGUACAAAAAGAAAAAAACAAAAAACAAAAAAAAAAUAGAGCAAGUGAAACCAAAAAUGAUGUUCUUGGUGUUUUUCUAUAAUGUAGUCUUGUUAGCUUUUUUGUUACUGUAACAAUGCUGAUCUCGAACUGUACCAAAAUACAUGGAGACUAACAAACAGAACCACAUGGAACUUUCAAACUGAAAAAAAAAAAUUUGUCACGAAAACUUUGUUGUCAUAGUUAAGUUGAUUGUAGAUGGUAAUUGAAUAUACUCCUUUGAAAAUAUUUCAUCAAGUAUGUUUCCUGCUCAUUGUGAUACAUUAAAAAAAAAUAUGAGCAAAA